RNAcentral lists this long non-coding RNA (619 nucleotides) under Panax ginseng (ginseng). RNAcentral describes it as "long non-coding RNA (PGIN_LNC002716)". The record is from RNAcentral. Lineage: Eukaryota; Viridiplantae; Streptophyta; Magnoliopsida; Apiales; Araliaceae.
CAAUCCGGCCAAAAUCUUCUUCUGAUUUAAUGUACAAGAUCUAGAUCUACCUUCAUCACGACCCUUCUUCAAAUCUCAAUGAGUUCGACGCUUCUUCUUCUGCUUCUCAUCAUGACCCUCUCUUCCAAAUCUAGAUCUACCACCCUCUCUUCCAAAUCUAGAUCUAUCACCAAAUCCGUUCUAAACAGAUCAACAAUAUGAUUCUGAUUUAAUGUACAAGAUAAGCAAUAUGAACCAAAAACCAGAUCUAAAUAUAUCACAAAUAUAAAACAUCAAAUCGCCAAGAAACCAUUGCUAGAUUCGGCGUUAGUAGUUCGAGAUCUUAGCCGUCGGAAAGGCUAAAUAGCACCUAAGUAAUAGUGAUGGCAAAAAAAGGGGAGGAGAUGGUGGGUCGAAGUGGAGAAGAAGAGAAAAUGGGACAAGGAGACAGGAGGCCGGAAGGAGCAGAGAUGAAGAUGGUGGCGGAGAUGGAAGAUUAUCUGAGAAUUCGUCUGAGAAUGGAAGCAUCAGAGAUGGAAGAAUUGUUUGUUUUGUUUUAAUGUGUAAAAAGUGUUUUGUCAACUUUAGCCCCUGUUUAAAAACUUUAAAUUGACAAAAUAAUGAAAAAAAUAUUUUUGAA